Molecule: transfer RNA, 68 nt
Filed under: Geopseudomonas aromaticivorans
Lineage: Bacteria; Pseudomonadati; Pseudomonadota; Gammaproteobacteria; Pseudomonadales; Pseudomonadaceae
Description: Pseudomonas sp. MAP12 tRNA-Leu
Rfam family: tRNA
About the family: Transfer RNA (tRNA) molecules are approximately 80 nucleotides in length. Their secondary structure includes four short double-helical elements and three loops (D, anti-codon, and T loops).
Source: RNAcentral
GCAGGUAUCGGUACGCCCACUGACUUGUAAUCAGUAGGUCCCGGGUUCAAUUCCUGGUGCCGGCACCA